UGGAUUUACGCAUUUUUGAGACUGGUGAAUAUGCACUCGUAGCAUGGGUUGGGGUACCUACUGCGCCAGCAUGGCUUCCAACAGAGAUGCUUAUCAAGUCAGAGAAACUCGAUUAUGAGAGACUGUAAUGCGAUAAGCCAAUUGAGGACCCAGCAUAUAUUUAUCACCUUCUGCAACUCGUAUUGUAAUUUUGUAAAGAUGAUUAUAAUAGAUGUCAUUGAUCGAUCAGGCACACAAAGAACACUAUGAUUAGGCCAAUACGUGAUGAGGCCUCAUUUGAACUCACAAAGUGAUUUGAUCAGAACACGGCAAAGACGACCCUGUUUGCCACGAAAUCUAUUAUGUGUGGAUUUUGGAUUCUCAAAGAUUAUUGUUUUCGAUAAUGGAACUCAGUUUGAUUGCCACAAA
Molecule: non-coding RNA, 408 nt
Organism: Prunus avium (sweet cherry)
Lineage: Eukaryota; Viridiplantae; Streptophyta; Magnoliopsida; Rosales; Rosaceae
Source: RefSeq, a predicted model, not a curated record